AUACGGAGGAUCCGAGCGUUAUCCGGAUUUAUUGGGUUUAAAGGGUGCGCAGGCGGGAGAUUAAGUCGGCGGUGAAAUUUUGCAGCUCAACUGUAAAAGUGCCUUCGAAACUGGGUUCCUUGAGUGUAGAUGAAGUAGGCGGAAUUUGUGGUGUAGCGGGGAAAUGCAUAGAUAUCACGAGGAACUCCGAUUGCGCAGGCAGCUUACUAAACUACUACUGACGCUCAGGCACGAAGGCGUGGGGAUCAAACAGGAUUAGAUACCCUGGUAGUCCACGCAGUAAACGAUGAUUACUAGCUGUUUGCGAUACAAUGUAAGCGGCUGAGCGAAAGCGUUAAGUAAUCCACCUGGGGAGUACGUUCGCAAGAAUGAAACUCAAAUGAAUUGACGGGG
Molecule: ribosomal RNA, 393 nt
Filed under: uncultured bacterium
Lineage: Bacteria
Description: partial 16S ribosomal RNA
Rfam family: Bacterial small subunit ribosomal RNA
Source: RNAcentral